AACGAACGCUGGCGGCAUGCCUAACACAUGCAAGUCGAACGAGAUCUUCGGGUCUAGUGGCGCACGGGUGCGUAACGCGUGGGAAUCUGCCCUUUGGUUCGGAACAACAGUUGGAAACGACUGCUAACACCGGAUGAUGACGAAAGUCCAAAGAUUUAUCGCCAGAGGAUGAGCCCGCGUAGGAUUAGCUAGUUGGUGUGGUAAAGGCGCACCAAGGCGACGAUCCUUAGCUGGUCUGAGAGGAUGAUCAGCCACACUGGGACUGAGACACGGCCCAGACUCCUACGGGAGGCAGCAGUGGGGAAUAUUGGACAAUGGGCGAAAGCCUGAUCCAGCAAUGCCGCGUGAGUGAUGAAGGCCUUAGGGUUGUGAAGCUCUUUUACCCGGGAUGAUAAUGACAGUACCGGGAGAAUAAGCUCCGGCUAACUCCGUGCCAGCAGCCGCCGUAA
RNAcentral lists this ribosomal RNA (449 nucleotides) under uncultured bacterium. RNAcentral describes it as "partial 16S ribosomal RNA". It matches the Rfam family "Bacterial small subunit ribosomal RNA", at positions 29 to 523 of the family's 1533-position model. The record is from RNAcentral.